GAUGAAGAACGUAGCGAAAUGCGACACUUGGUGUGAAUUGCAGAAUCCCGUGAACCAUCGAGUCUUUGAACGCAAGUUGCGCCCGAAGCCUCGGCUAAGGGCACGUCUGCCUGGGCGUCACGCAUCGCGUCUCCCCCAAACCGCCAAGGCGGAGGGGAAGGAAGAUGGCUUCCCGUGCCUCACCCGGGCGCGGUUGGCCUAAAUUUGGAGCCCGCGGCACUUAGCUCUCGCGGCGAUAGGUGGUGAACAAGGCCUUGGCCGUGCAAACAACCCGCUGCGAAGCUCUAUGUCACGUGCGCUCGUCGGACCCUUUGAAGUUGCCUUUGGUGACUUAAAACCUUUGCGACCCCAGGUCAGGCGGGGCUACCCGCUGAAUUUAAGCAUAUCAAUAAGCGGAGGA
Molecule: unclassified non-coding RNA, 400 nt
Filed under: soil metagenome
Description: partial contains 5.8S ribosomal RNA, internal transcribed spacer 2, and large subunit ribosomal RNA
Rfam family: 5.8S ribosomal RNA (bases 1-120)
Source: RNAcentral